CCCUAGCCUUAGAGAACAGUGAGGCAGUGACUCUCUCUGCUAAGCCAAUCAAAUUAGAACAUUUUAUAAAUGUGAUACAAUAAUAAAAAACCCCAGAAAUGUAUUUUUGUGGAAAACUGAAUUAUGCUGGAUACAUGAAAUAAUUAGGGUUUGAUUUUUCAGUUGUGUGCGACUAGGAUUUGGAAAGUGUGUUAAUGGUAGUUGGAUGGUUGUUUUUCACAAGACACUAGAAUACUACCACAGAUUACUACUGAAAGCACAGCAGUCUGAAUUGCUAAACAACAUAGAAUGCUUCAGGAAGCAAGAGAAGUACUUCGGGGGAGCAGUUAAUACUAGAAGAAAGAACGAACAACUCAAGAAAAACAGAGGAAGAACCAUGACAAACCUAGACUAAACACCAAGACAAAGAACAAGGGCAGCAAACAUUUCAGAUUUGGGAAACUGGUACUACUUUAUAAAGAGAGUGUGCCAUUGUACAUAAGUGCUACUCACUUGCCUUUUCACAUAUUGCAAGAAAAACAUAGCAAGCAUGUAUUUAAAGUAGGAUUUCAUUUCUUAUGCCCCUUCUACUGUAUUAUAUUACUAUCAUAAGUCAGCCUUUCAGGUGCAAAUGUGGGCUGUAUACACAAGUUCACAUGAUCUGGGAGAAUUCUCCCUUUUUUGUCUCCUCGCUGGUAAAAAAAACUCAUCCAGAGACCGUUAGACAGACAUUCAAGUGACAUGGUGCUGAGCACCCAAGGGCCCCUGUGCACGCAUGUCAGCAUGCUCUGCAAGCUCCCCAGUCUGCCUAGCAACAGAUGACAGCGGUGCACAGGGCAGCCCUGAUUGGAUGACUCAGACUGCCUUUCAGGCUGUCUUUUCCUGCAGCACAAUGUAAGGGCUGUGAGGGAGCUUUCUGCUUGGCUGGAGCAGUAGAGUCCAAGCCAAGUAACACACUGUUUCCUCGCACCUGUGGAGGAAGAGGGAGAAGUUGGGAGCAAAACACACUGGGAAACUAGACUAUUGUACUGUAGCUUGUCAGAAGAGGUGUAAGCUUCUGAAGAAUUAUCUACUUACCAUCCUAUUUGGGUAUCGGAGCAGCACUGGUUGCACAGGAACUCCUGGAAUGAAGGCACCUGAAACCAUAAAUCACUCUUUAAAA
Long non-coding RNA from Gavialis gangeticus (Gharial), 1141 nucleotides. RefSeq lists it as uncharacterized. The record is from RefSeq and is a predicted model, not a curated record. NCBI's taxonomy places the organism in Eukaryota, Metazoa, Chordata, Crocodylia, Gavialidae. The transcript has 2 exons.